Molecule: ribosomal RNA, 467 nt
Filed under: uncultured bacterium
Lineage: Bacteria
Description: bacterial SSU rRNA
Rfam family: Bacterial small subunit ribosomal RNA
Source: RNAcentral
GUUUGAUCAUGGCUCAGAGCGAACGCUGGCGGCAGGCCUAACACAUGCAAGUCGAGCGCUCGUAGCAAUACGAGAGCGGCAGACGGGAGAGUAACACGUGGGAACGUGCCCUUCGGUUCGGAAUAACUCAGGGAAACUUGAGCUAAUACCGGAUACGCCCUUACGGGGAAAGAUUUAUUGCCGAAGGAGCGGCCCGCGUCUGAUUAGCUAGUUGGUGAGGUAACGGCUCACCAAGGCGACGAUCAGUAGCUGGUCUGAGAGGAUGACCAGCCUCACUGGGACUGAGACACGGCCCAGACUCCUACGGGAGGCAGCAGUGGGGAAUAUUGGACAAUGGGCGCAAGCCUGAUCCAGCCAUGCCGCGUGGAUGAUGAAGGCCUUAGGGUUGUAAAGUCCUUUCAGCGGGGAAGAUAAUGACGGUACCCGCAGAAGAAGCCCCGGCUAACUUCGUGCCAGCAGCCGCGGUG